RNAcentral lists this ribosomal RNA (1184 nucleotides) under Gammaproteobacteria bacterium. RNAcentral describes it as "partial 23S ribosomal RNA". It matches the Rfam family "Bacterial large subunit ribosomal RNA", at positions 1 to 1113 of the family's 2925-position model. Lineage: Bacteria; Pseudomonadati; Pseudomonadota; Gammaproteobacteria. The record is from RNAcentral. RNAcentral also lists the same sequence under 2 other names.
AAAUUUAUUGGUCAAGCUACGUAGAGCAUACGGUGGAUGCCUUGGCAUCAGGAGGCGAUGAAGGGCGUGGCUAGCUGCGAUAAGCCUCGGGGAGUCGCUAACAGGCUUAGAUCCGGGGAUACCCGAAUGGGGAAAGCCGAUUCCAGUCAUGUGGAAUCACCCCCCGCUGAAUUCAUAGGCGGGACGGAGCGAACCAAGGGAAGUGAAACAUCUCAGUACCUUGAGGAAGAGAAAUCAAUUGAGAUUCCCUUAGUAGUGGCGAGCGAACGGGGAAGAGCCUAAACCAGGUUUAUGUAAGCUUGUGGGCGUUGUAAAUCUGGUGUUGCGGGACCUAGCCGGGCUGUUCCACAAAACAGCCGGAGAGUUACAAACCUUUUUCUUAGUUGAACAGUCUGGAACGACUGACCAAAGAUGGUGAUAGUCCAGUAGGCGAAAAGGGAAAGGCUCUUUGGGUUGGGUUCCCGAGUACCACGGGGCACGUGAAACCCUGUGGGAAUCUGGGAGGACCAUCUUCCAAGGCUAAAUACUACCUGAUGACCGAUAGUGAACCAGUACCGUGAGGGAAAGGUGAAAAGCACCCCGGUGAGGGGAGUGAAAUAGUACCUGAAACCGUAUGUCUACAAGCAGUGGAAGCACUAUGAACCGCCUUAGGCGGUUAACGUGCGACCGCGUGCCUUUUGCUUAAUGAGCCGGCGAGUUAUUCGGUGUAGCAAGGUUAAGUCGAAAAGAUGGAGCCGUAGCGAAAGCGAGUCUGAAUAGGGCGAAUGAGUUGCACUAAAUAGACCCGAAGCCAAGUGAUCUACCCAUGUCCAGGAUGAAGCGCAGUUAACCCUGCGUGGAGGUCCGAACCAGUGAACGUUGAAAAGUUCUUGGAUGAGGUGUGGGUAGGGGUGAAAGGCUAAUCAAACUUGGUGAUAGCUGGUUCUCCUCGAAAUAGCUAGAGGGCUAGCCCUGCAAAGUAAGUAACGGGGGUAGAGCACUGAAUGGACUAGGGGCCUUACCAGGCUACCAAACCCAAUCAAACUCCGAAUACCGUUAACUGUUAUUGCAGGAGUCAGACUACGGGAGCUAAGUUCCGUGGUCAAAAGGGAAAGAGCCCAGACCGCCAGCUAAGGUCCCUAAAUAUGUGCUAAGUGGGAAAGGUUGUGGGAACGCUCAGACAGCCAGGAGGUUGGCUUAGAAGC